This 305-nucleotide unclassified non-coding RNA is filed under the name plant metagenome. RNAcentral's name for it is "partial contains 5.8S ribosomal RNA, internal transcribed spacer 2, and large subunit ribosomal RNA". The stretch from base 1 to 105 matches the Rfam family "5.8S ribosomal RNA", at positions 50 to 154 of the family's 154-position model. The record is from RNAcentral.
GAAAUGCGAUAAGUAGUGUGAAUUGCAGAAUUCAGUGAAUCAUCGAAUCUUUGAACGCACAUUGCGCCCUUUGGUAUUCCUUAGGGCAUGCCUGUUCGAACGUCAUCUAAACCUUCAAGCCCUGCUUGGUGUUGGGUGCCUGUCCCGCCUCCGCGCGCGGACUCACCUCAAAUCCAUUGGCGGCCCCCGCGUCGGCCACGAGCGCAGCAGAAACGCGAACUCGUGAGCCCGUCCGGGCGGCUCCCAGAAGCUACACCCACCCAGUUUGACCUCGGAUCAGGUAGGGAUACCCGCUGAACUUAAGC